AAGACCCCGUGGAGGACCGAACCGACUUAGGUUGAAAACUGAGCGGAUGACCUGUGGGUCGGAGUGAAAGGCUAAUCAAACUCAGAGAUAUCUGGUUCUCCCCGAAAUAUAUUUAGGUAUAGCGUCAUGCGUUCAAUGACGGUUGUAGAGCACUGUUUGGGCUAGGGGGCUUACCCGCUUACCGAACUCAGGCAAACUCCGAAUGCCGUCAUUCCAGAGCAUGGCAGUCAGAGUGCGGGGGAUAAGCUUCGUGCUCAAAAGGGAAACAGCCCAGACCGUCGGCUAAGGUCCCUAAUUUCAUGCUAAGUGGGAAACGAUGUCCGAUUGCAAAGACAACCAGGAUGUUGGCUUAGAAGCAGCCACCAUUCAAAGAGUGCGUAACAGCUCACUGGUCAAGUGGUCGGGCGCGGACAAUGUAACGGGGCUCAAGCAUGGAACCGAAGCCACGGACUCCUUCGGGAGUGGUAGGGGAGCGUUCCCAGGCCUGCGAAGCGGCGGCGUAAGCCUGCCGUGGAGGGCUGGGAAGUGAGAAUGCUGGCAUGAGUAACGAAAGACGAGUGAGAAACUCGUCCGCCGAAUGCCUAAGGGUUCCUGAGUAAAGCUAAUCUGCUCAGGGUUAGUCGGGACCUAAGCCGAGGCCGAAAGGCGUAGGCGAUGGACAACAGGUUGAUAUUCCUGUACCACGUAGCCACCGCUAUCACCGAUGGCGGGACGGGGUAGGCUAAGGAAUCCCUGGCGAUGGUCGUCCAGGGGUAACCGCGUAGGGCGGCCGGUAGGUAAAUCCGCCGGCCAUUAAGCCUGAGACGGGAUGCCGAGCUCCUUCACCGGAGCGAAGUUCCUGAAGCCAUGCCUCCUAGAAAAUCGUCUAGGGAGGUGGCGCGUGCCCGUACCAAAACCGACACAGGUAGGCAGGUAGAGAAUACCAAGGCGAUCGGAAGAACCCUCGUUAAGGAACUCGGCAAAAUGGUCCCGUAACUUCGGGAGAAGGGACGCCCCGGUAGAGUGAAGCCCUUGCGGGCUCAGCUCGAGGGGGCCGCAGUGAAACGGCCCAAGCGACUGUUUACCAAAAACACAGGUCUCUGCGAAGUCGAAAGACGACGUAUAGGGGCUGACGCCUGCCCGGUGCCGGAAGGUCACGAGGAGAGGUUAGCCUUCGGGCGAAGCUUUGAAUCCAAGCCCCGGUAAACGGCGGCGGUAACUAUAACCGUCCUAAGGUAGCGAAAUUCCUUGUCGGGUAAUUGAAUUGCCCGAGCCGGAAGUAAUUCCGGUGGACAAAACCGGCUAAUAACGGGGAAGCCCUCCUCGUAUGCGGCGCCUCAAGGACGUCGUAGCAGCGAAAGGGUAAUCCCGUGGGAAGUCGACACACUAUGUGUCUGACCCCGUAACGACUGAUCGUCCUUCGGGACGUGAGAUCGCAGUUACUGCUUCGGCAAAUCUACAACUGUGAUCAGACGCCGGCCCCUGGUUUACCAGGGUGAAGGGAUAGUCUGCGCCUCCGGAAACGGAGGAAUCACGCGAAGUUCCGACCUGCACGAAUGGCGUAACGACUUGGGCGCUGUCUCAACGAGGGAUCCGGUGAAAUUGUAGUCUCGGUGAAGAUGCCGAGUACCCGUGGUUGGACGGAAAGACCCCGUGCACCUUUACUACAGCUUGACGUUGGAGUCUGGGAUUUGUUGUCCAGGAUAGGUGGGAGGCUUUGAAGCGGGGACGCCAGUCCUCGUGGAGCCACCCUUGGGAUACCACCCUUCGAAUUCUGGGCUUCUAACCAGGGACCGUUAUCCGGCCUUGGAACAGCGUCAGGUGGGUAGUUUGACUGGGGCGGUCGCCUCCUAAACUGUAACGGAGGCGCGCAAAGGUUCCCUCAGCACGGUUGGAAAUCGUGCGUAGAGCGUAAUGGCAUAAGGGAGCUUGACUGCGAGACUGACAAGUCGAGCAGGUGCGAAAGCAGGCCAUAGUGAUCCGGCGGUAAAGCGUGGAAUUGCCGUCGCUCAACGGAUAAAAGGUACGCCGGGGAUAACAGGCUUAUCCUUCCCAAGAGUCCACAUCGACGGAAGGGUUUGGCACCUCAACAUCUGGGGUGGGCCGGCAGAGAUGCCGGUCAUGAAUCGGCUAAUAACGGUGGAGCCCACGCCUGUGCGUCCGAGUGACGCAGUAAGUUGGGUAAUACCGUGGGAAGUCUGUCGGAAGUGCAGCGUCAGAUCAUCGUCGGAACUUUGCUUGGCGGUGGAGCGAUGCGCUGCAAGACCAACGCGCUUCUCGAGAUCAAUCACUCGUCUCACCAACGAAGCUACGUCGAUUGGAAAUAUCGACAUCUGGCUGACCUGGUGCGAACACCACCGAAGGCUCGUAGGAGCAAUGGGGCGCGAAUCGCGUAUCGGUUCGUCACCCGGAGUCUCCCCGAGCUGACUCCGUUCUUCCGCUUGUUCUACGGAACCGGCCGGAAGCGGGUUCCCGAGUUGGAGCUCUCAGAGCUCACGCUCGCGGUGUGGUUCAUGGACGAUGGCUGUCGCUCGAGAAACGCGGUGUAUCUGAACACGCAGCAAUACGACAAGACGAGUCAGAGCAGGCUGCUUCGGCUCCUCCGCGAACAGUGGGGGAUCGAGGGAGCUCUGAACCGGGACAAGUCCUACUACCGAGUUCGUCUAUCGGUUGAGGGAACCCGGAAGCUCGCGAGACUUGUCGAGCCGUAUCUGCUGCCGGAGCUCAGCUACAAACUUCCGCAAGUGACCCCGUAACGACUGAGGCCGCAAGGCCAAGGUGGUGUUCUUGCUCCACAGGAGCAAAUCUAUGGACGCCACAACACGCCGACCCCUCGCCUUUGGUCAGGCAGGGUGGAGAUAUAGUCUGCGCCGCCGGUAACGGCGGAAUAUCGCGCGAUGUCGGCUCGUCGCAUCCUGGGGCUGGAGCAGGUCCCAAGGGUNNNNNNNNNNUGCGAAAGCAGGCCAUAGUGAUCCGGCGGUGAAGCGUGGAAUUGCCGUCGCUCAACGGAUAAAAGGUACGCCGGGGAUAACAGGCUUAUCCUUCCCAAGAGUCCACAUCGACGGAAGGGUUUGGCACCUCGAUGUCGGCUCGUCGCAUCCUGGGGCUGGAGCAGGUCCCAAGGGUCGGGCUGUUCGCCCGUUAAAGCGGUACGCGAGCUGGGUUCAGAACGUCGUGAGACAGUUCGGUCCCUAUCCACCAUGGGCGCUGGAAGCUUGAGAGGAGUCGCUCCUAGUACGAGAGGACCGGAGCGAACGGACCUCUGGUGUAUCAGUCGUCGUGCCAACGGCGCUGCUGAUUAGCCACGUCCGGAUGGGAUAACCGCUGAAAGCAUCUAAGCGGGAAGCCCACCUCGAGAUGAGGCUUCCCAUCCCCUAGAGGGAGUAAGAGCCGUGGGAGACCACCACGUUGAUAGGCGGGACGUGCAAGCGUGGCAACGCGUUAAGCGGACCCGUACUAAUUGCUCGAGGUCUUGAUUUU
RNAcentral lists this ribosomal RNA (3459 nucleotides) under Acidobacteriota bacterium. RNAcentral's name for it is "partial 23S ribosomal RNA". It matches the Rfam family "Bacterial large subunit ribosomal RNA", at positions 758 to 2925 of the family's 2925-position model. Lineage: Bacteria; Pseudomonadati; Acidobacteriota. The record is from RNAcentral.